GCCAGGCAUGGUGGCUCAUGCCUGUAAUCCUAGCACUUUGGGAGGCUGAGGCAGGAGGGUCACUUGAGCCCAGGAGUUCAAGACCAGCCUGGGUAAUAUAGUGAGACCUUGUCUCUU
Gorilla gorilla gorilla (western lowland gorilla) is the source of this 117-nucleotide non-coding RNA. It matches the Rfam family "Metazoan signal recognition particle RNA". Rfam says of the family: The signal recognition particle (SRP) is a universally conserved ribonucleoprotein. It is involved in the co-translational targeting of proteins to membranes. The eukaryotic SRP consists of a 300-nucleotide 7S RNA and six proteins: SRPs 72, 68, 54, 19, 14, and 9. The record is from Rfam. NCBI's taxonomy places the organism in Eukaryota, Metazoa, Chordata, Mammalia, Primates, Hominidae.